GUGCCAGCAGCCGCGGUAAUACGGAAGGUCCGGGCGUUAUCCGGAUUUAUUGGGUUUAAAGGGAGCGCAGGCCGGAGUCAAGCGUGACGUGAAAUGUAGCCGCUCAACGGCUGAACUGCGUCGCGAACUGGCUUUCUUGAGUGAGUACGACGUCAGCGGAAUUCGUGGUGUAGCGGUGAAAUGCUUAGAUAUCACGAAGAACCCCGAUUGCGAAGGCAGCUGACGAGUCCUUAACUGACGCUAAAGCUCGAAGGUGCGGGUAUCGAACAGGAUUAGAUACCCUGGUAGUCCGCACGGUAAACGAUGGAUGCCCGCUGUCGGCGACAGACUGUCGGCGGCCAAGCGAAAGCGUUAAGCAUCCCACCUGGGGAGUACGCCGGCAACGGUGAAACUCAAAGGAAUUGACGGGGGCCCGCACAAGCGGAGGAACAUGUGGUUUAAUUCGAUGAUACGCGAGGAACCUUACCCGGGCUUGAACUGCCGGCGAACGAAACAGAGAUGUUGAGGUCCUUCGGGACGCCGGUGGAGGUGCUGCAUGGUUGUCGUCAGCUCGUGCCGUGAGGUGUCGGCUUAAGUGCCAUAACGAGCGCAACCCCUUUCGCCAGUUGCCAUCAGGUGAUGCUGGGCACUCCGGCGACACUGCCACCGUAAGGUGCGAGGAAGGUGGGGAUGACGUCAAAUCAGCACGGCCCUUACGUCCGGGGCUACACACGUGUUACAAUGGUGGUACAGAGAGUCAGCGGCCGGCAACGUCCGCUCAAUCAUGAAAGCCAUCCUCAGUUCGGAUUGGGUCUGCAACCCGACCCCAUGAAGCUGGAUUCGCUAGUAAUCGCGCAUCAGCCAUGGCGCGGUGAAUACGUUCCCGGGCCUUGUACACACCGCCCGU
RNAcentral lists this ribosomal RNA (886 nucleotides) under uncultured rumen bacterium. RNAcentral describes it as "bacterial SSU rRNA". It matches the Rfam family "Bacterial small subunit ribosomal RNA", at positions 505 to 1397 of the family's 1533-position model. The record is from RNAcentral.